AGUGAACGCUGGCGGUAGGCCUAACACAUGCAAGUCGAACGGCAGCACAGUAAGAGCUUGCUCUUACGGGUGCCGGGUGGCGGACGGUGGAGGAAUACAUCGGAAUCUACUUUUUCGUGGGGGAUAACGUAGGGAAACUUACGCUAAUACCGCAUACGACCUACGGGUGAAAGCAGGGGAUCUUCGGACCUUGCGCGAGUGAAUGAGCCGAUGCCGGAUUAGCUAGUUGGCGGGGUAAAGGCCCACCAAGGCGACGAUCCGUAGCUGGUCUGAGAGGAUGAGCAGUCAAACGGGAACAGAGAAACGGACAGGACCCCGACGGGAGGCAGCAGGGGGGAAUAUUGGACAAUGGGCGAAAGCCUGAUCCAGCCAUGGCGCGUGUGGUAAGAAGGCCUGCGGAUUGGAAAGCACUUUGAGGGGGGAGGAAGAGCAGUAAGUGAAUACCUUGCUGGGUUGACGUUACCAAAAGAAUAAGCACCGGCUAACUUCGGG
This 492-nucleotide ribosomal RNA is filed under the name uncultured bacterium. RNAcentral describes it as "partial 16S ribosomal RNA". It matches the Rfam family "Bacterial small subunit ribosomal RNA", at positions 30 to 507 of the family's 1533-position model. The record is from RNAcentral.